Molecule: small RNA, 6171 nt
Filed under: Arabidopsis thaliana (thale cress)
Lineage: Eukaryota; Viridiplantae; Streptophyta; Magnoliopsida; Brassicales; Brassicaceae
Description: ATSL268560
Rfam family: Plant small nucleolar RNA R71 (bases 5325-5431)
Source: RNAcentral
UGCUUUCUUUAGUACUAAGGUUCUGUUUUUAAUCUCUAUUAAGCUUAGGGCUUUUUACCCUUCUUCAUUAGCUAACAAUAAUCCAAUCUCUUUCUUUAACAAUCUCAAACCCGUUACUAGACUUUUUCUAACUUUUUUAGGUUACUUCUCCUAGAAUCCUUUUCCCCUUUCUUGUAAACAAUGAAUUCAACCCUUUUUCUCUCUUUUAAACUUUUCCCAACCCAUAGAAUAAGUACCCACCUAGUCCUAUCCAGUCCGGAUAACGCGAACUAGAACUACAUGAGAUACUAUCUUUGUCGUUACAAACCUAACACUUUCUACCAAGCUUAAUCGAAAUAAGACCUCGCAAACACUCACAAGUGAUACAUUGCUUGAAAGAAGGCUUAGGUUAGGGUGUGGGGAAACUGCUCUAAAGAUGAGAGUCAGCUAUUUGGAUCAACAAGAGUGGUGAAAUGAAUAAGAAGAUCCAAAGAUUUUAAGGGUAACCAUGAGUUUAACAAGAAAUGCAUAGUAUGAUAAUUACAAGUCAAAUUAUGGUUCAAAUUGAUAGGGAAUAGCAUCAAAUCGCAGCGAGUUCCGACUAAGGAAGGUCAAGCAUAUGAAUUCAAAAGAUGGUGCGGUUUUACUUCAAGUUCAAUCGGUUAAGCACUAGACAACUAACAACAAGGGCAUUGAAACUAUCUAGUGAACAUUGCAAAUUUACAAGGCUAUGAUAAUCAUUAUCCCCUAUGCAAGUGCAAAAUGCAACAACCUAUAUGAUAAUAUUCUAAAAACAGCCCUAAUAAUGCAAAUGUAAACUACAUGACACUCUAUUUUUUUGGAAUCAUUUUCGGAAAUUUUUAAAUUUUUAUGGGUUUUCUAUGCCUUAGAUGAUGCAAAAAUUUGAAUAAGAAAACAUGAAACAAAAUUAGAUACAUCUUGAACUCUCUCCUAAACUUAAAUUACACUGUCCCUUGUGUAAUAAAAAUUCAAAGAAGAAUUCAAGAGAAAUAACCACACAAAGCAAGAAAUAAAAGAAAUGCAAUGAUAUAUACAAUGAAAAGGAGUGAUACCUCAACAUUUAGACGAAGAGGUUCUGCACAAACUCGUCCAGGCGGUCUUGUGUGUACUCAGGAUCACGGUGGAGGUGUUGGGGUUGUACUCGGUUGACCCGUCGAGCAUGUAGCCCGAGUAGUACUCCUCCCGGCUUGGGUCAGCUUUCAGAACCAACUGGUUCACUAGACCGGGUGGGCGCCUGUUAAAAAGGGCGGCCUGAGAAGGUGGAGCUCCUCCCGAGCUCGUAAUUUGAGGCUCUUGGCGGGUCAAAACGAGCGUCCCUUUGUUGUGCCACACUCGUUGAGUUACAUCUCCUGAACUCGGGUGGAGGUGGUGGCGAUCUCUGCCUUCUUUGCAGCUCCUGAAUUUGAACCGCCAUGCCGUCCAUUGCUCUCUUCAUCUUUCUCACCUUCUUCUUUAACCUAUGAACAUCUUUCUCUGAAACUUGCCCAAACCCUUGAGCAUUCCCAACUUCUUGUGAACUUGACCGGGAUCUGUCUCUUGAUCGGACUUAGCAUAGUUUUCAAAGAAAAACUGCUCCGCUGCAGCUUCACACGAAUCUUCUUGUUCAUCAAACUGUUCAGCUCGACUGAACUCAGCUUGUUCAUACUCGGCCUGCUGAAAGUCACUCGACCGAGUAUAAUCUUCCUGCUCACCUUCUUCUUCAUUGAACUCUGCUCUUUCUUCUUGAGACUCACUUCCUAUGCUCGGCUCUGCUUGUAGAGGUGCAAGGACAUUGACUAAGAUCGAUUGAGGAGGAUAAAAGUCAAUGUUGUUCCCAAUCCUAACUGUGGUGAACUUCUUGCAACGGAGUGCUAGCCUAGAGAGACCUAGCGUGUAGUGCUUGAACUUGAAAUAGAGUUGAUCAGCUGGGGCAGAUCUAUCAAAAUAGCAUUUCCUCUUCAAGUACUCCAUAUCAAUAUAGGUUGUUGUGUGAGUGGGGGUGUGAAGAGGAACUCCAGCGGCUAUUAGGAUGGGCGUGAUCACUCCUCCAGCACAUAAGCUUCCUCCAUAGCCGGAUUGGUGGAUACCGGUUGCAUAUUCUCUAAAACCAAUCAAGUGAUCAAUCAACACCACCGAAAGGGAUGUAUCAGCCCUAUCCCCUUCCAUCUCUAUCCCAUUCCUUGUGCGCCCCAAAAUGAAGCAUAAGGUGAGAUCAAGCAACUUCAGUUCUCCCUCUCUCAUUAACAUGGUCGGUUGUCUUCUUUGGGAAGAAGGCACUUGCAAUGCAAAGGUGGAGAUACCUUAGCACCGGGCUCCUUAUCAACGAACUCUUGGCCCUAGAUUACUUGUAGGGGAGUGGACCGGCGAUUGUCAACCAUAGAUCUAGGAGCUCGUCCUUGCUGAAGUUUUGGCGGAUCCCAUACUUGGUGGAGAACUUGAAAACAGCAUCCAACUGCCUAAUAGAAAGGGAGUAUUGAAUCCCAAACACCAUGAAUGUGAUAUAGCCAACUCCCUUAUGCAGUUCUCUCUCCCUUUCUUCAGCAUAGAAAUGAAGCUUCAAAGUGGCUAGGAAUUGGCAGCUCUCAGUUUGGUAUCCUUCACACUUGUAGGAGAAGAAGGUCUCCAACUUGGCCAUCUCCAUGAGGUAGUCAACAUCCCUACAUAUCCCCAAAGCUUGCAUGGUAGGUUUAUGGGGAUAUCUUGUCCCCUCAAAACUCAGCUCCAUGAGAUACUGGUAGUGCUCUUCAAUGGUAGGCUCUUUCUUUCUCCUUGGGUGGUUUCUUCUUCUCCUUGUAAGAACUAUCGGGACCUCUUCAUCAAUUUGCACAUCUUCCUCAGAUGCGUCCUUCUCUAGCAUGGACUCCUCCUCUAUUGCAGCCGACUCGGACUCCCAAACCCUCUUGCCUCUUGCAAUUUCCUCUCGAGCAGCCGUAGAACGAGCCAUAGAGGACUCCAAGGCCAUACUCGGCCAUUGUACUCGGCCUGUCAUCCGAGUAAAACCUGGACUCGCAGCUUCCUGAUUCCUUGACUGAUCCUUCUCAUUAAUCAUCUCAAACCUUCUUGCCACAACUCGAGCAGAGGCUCUCCUUCUUGAUUCUUCGGGAUUCAUAAUCUUGGGAUGAUUUACUACAGGUAGUCACCAAAAAAUAACUAAAGGUAGGUCAAAGUAGAAGAGAAAUUGAUGUUUAAGGAUGAACAAAGGGUGUAAGAGAGGUUUUGAAAAGGUUUGUAUGGAGAGAAAACAAGAGAUUUUGGCAAAGUUUCUCGGAAUUCUAGAGAAGUGAGAGUGAAAACUUGAAAUGUUUGGAGAGAAGAAGUAAAAUUCAAAAUUUUUGAGCAAAGAGAGAGUGUAAGAGACUUAGCUUGUUGAGUGUGGUUUUAUAGACCAGAAGAUUUGAUCCUAGCCCUAUAAACACCUUAGAUCUUCACCGUUCAUUUGGUCAAGGGCACAUGUUUCACUAUUUGCAGAAGAAUCUUUGAAGGGCUUUGGGGAGCAGGAUUUGGUUGGUGGGGCCGAGCAAAUUCAAAUUCAAAUUUGAAUUUGAAUUGUGUUGACCUCGCACGUGUGAACUCGGCUGACAUACUCGACACGCGUGUCGAGUACAGUGUUGGGCCUGAUGGGCUUCUUUUCUGACUCGUCUUCGGGCCGAGUGCUGCAUCUUCUUGGGCCUUUGAACAGUGAGGCCCAUACUCGACCAUAGGCCGAGUGGUAUGGGCCGAGUGCUAUUCAAUCUUGGGCUUUUGGUCAAUUGAAGCCCACACUCGGCCUGUAGCCGAGUGGUACGGUCGAGUGUGGCCUGAAAUUCCUUAUAAGUCUUUUUUUUUUCCUGAAACACUUAAACAAAAACAUCAAAAAUAACAAGAAAGCAAUAUAUACAAGAAUAGACAUGGGACUUCCUCCCAAGUGAGCUUGUUUAAAGUCACUAAGCUUGACUCUCACUAUGUUUAUGUAGAGAAAAGAUUGAGGAGAGGAACUGAGAAGUCCUCAUCCUCAUUUGCUGAAUCCUCAAAGUCUGAAUCUCUUUGCAACAGACAAAGGCAUCAAACUAACCGAGGCUCCCAAAUCACAAAGACUAUUGUUGAACACUAAGGGUCCUAGCGAACAAGGUAGAGUGCAGAAACCUAGAUCACCUAGCUUCUUUGAUAUCACCUUCCUUUGAAUGAUAGCACUGCACUCAAAACUCAAUUCAACUAUUUGCUGAGCUUCUUGGGGUCUUUCCAUGAUCACUUCCUUGGGAGUAUCAACCAAGGGUAUCUUCUCUUCUAACUCUUUGAUACACUUGAUGAACAUCAUCUUGUGUUUCUGGAAGAUCCUUUCAUUAACCUGUGCAAUCCUUUCUGGAAAGUAUGGUUUAGGUUCAUAGCGAGGUGGAAUAGGGAUUGGGUUGCUCGGGUCAUGUGCUCGUUCGACAAGCCGAGCAAAGAAGUCGAGUUCAAUCUCCUGUCUUGAUUUUGGUCUCAAAACCUCCCCUUCUUGAAUCCCACUGUCCGCAGUGGCAGAAGUAUUAACUAUGGUGAUAGUAUGGGCAUACUCCUUUGGAUUUUGAACAGAUUUUCCAGGAAGUUGUCCGGGGUGCUUAGGAGCUGAAGUAGAAGCAAUGUAUCCCUCCAUGGUCUUGACUCUAGUGUUAAGAGCAUCUAUCUUUAUAUUCAGGUCGUUAUAAGAGCAAUCAAUCCUGGUGGUGAGUUCAGCUAGCUUCUUAUCCAUGGUCAUGGAGCAUGAGGCAUGUCCUUGCACAAGCUGAUGAAGUAGAUUCUUCAUCUCUGAGUCUUGUGCUGAAGUUUGCUGUAGUUGCUGGGUGAAGCCUGGAGGUCCAAAGUUCUGCUUUUGAUUGUAGCCUUGGUUAUAGGGUACAAAGGGCUUAGCUUGAGGUGGUUGGUUCUGUGGGGGGUAGACUUGAUCUUGUGGGUUUGCCACAUUGUUGCUUCUGUAAGAGAGAUUAGGAUGAGGGGGUUUGUAGUUGUUGAAUCCCUUGUUGUAGCCACCUUGAUUCUGUAGGUAGCUCACCUCCUCAAGAGUAAGAUUCUCCCCUUCUUGGAGUUGUGUAAGCUCUUCUUCUGUAAUGUAGUGGACAUUUCUUUGUUGAGCAAGCACCAAUUUGUCAAUCUUAUCAUUGAGAGCUUUGAUCUUCUUCUUGUGCCUGUCCUCAGAAUCGCUAGUGCCUCUGUUAGUGCGAUCAUAGUCCUCAUUGUAAUUCCCAUCAGAUUGUGCUAGGUUUUCAACAAGUUCCCAACCUUCAGCUACAUCCUUGUUGAGAAAGUUACCAUUGGAAGCAGUAUCCAAGAGCAUCCGGAUCUUGGGUAAGGCACCUCGGAAUAGAGUACUGAGGAGGGAGGCCUUCUUGAAUCCGUGGUGCGGGCACUGAGUGGUAUAUCCUUUGAAACGCUCCCAUGCUUCAGCGAAUGAUUCUGAAUUCUUCUGAUUGAAUCCCGAAAUCUCAUUUUUCAGUCUAGCCGUUCUUGAGUUAGAAAAGAACUUGGCUAGGAAAGCUUUCUUGCAAUCAUCCCAAGUGUCUACCGAGUUGAUAAGUGUGUAUUUUGCAUGUUUUGAGCAUCCAUUUGUCAUCACUUUAGCAUCAUAUCAUCACUGUUUUAUACCAUUUCACAUCAUUUGUCAUCACUUUGCAUGUUUAGGAUAGUUUUGCAUGCAUGUUGCAUAUUUCCGUUGAUUUCAGGUGAUUUGGAGCUGUUGACGAGCUAUCUAGAAGAAGCGGACCUGAUCGUGACAAACCACUCGACCCAGAGGUCGAGUAGGAGCUUCAAGACCUCAAGAGACCACUCGACCCCCAGGUCGAGCAGAGGACAUCACCACUUCACUUCACCACUCGACCACGAGGUCGAGUGCCCUCGUCUCCAUCACUCGAUCACUUCACUCGACCAUGAGGUCGAGUGUCUUCACCUUCACUGCCAGACCACUACUCGACCACAUCACUCUGCCUAGAGGUCGAGUACCUCCAUCACACCACUCGACUGCAUACUCGAUGACAAGCUUCAGAGCCUUCUUCAUUCCGCACUCAACUAGACACUCGAGCACAAGGAAGAAAAGAAGAUUCCAGCUAUUCACUUGACCUCUCACUCGACCACCUAGGUCGAGUACAAUUCUUAACCCGUCCAAAUACUUCGUCGUUUUGAGUAUUAGGGUUUCGGGAUAUUUGGCUAUAAGUAGCAUGUACUUCUCAUUUUCGCAGAAAA